RNAcentral lists this transfer RNA (60 nucleotides) under Xenophyes cascus. RNAcentral's name for it is "tRNA-Phe". The record is from RNAcentral. Lineage: Eukaryota; Metazoa; Arthropoda; Insecta; Hemiptera; Peloridiidae.
CUCUAGCUUAAAAUUAAAGCAUAGUAUUGAAAAUACUGAAAUAAUAUGUACAUAUUAGAA